RNAcentral lists this ribosomal RNA (468 nucleotides) under uncultured bacterium. Its description in RNAcentral is "partial 16S ribosomal RNA". It matches the Rfam family "Bacterial small subunit ribosomal RNA", at positions 28 to 507 of the family's 1533-position model. The record is from RNAcentral.
GACGAACGCUGGCGGCGUGCUUAACACAUGCAAGUCGAACGGAAAGGCCCUGCUUUUGUGGGGUGCUCGAGUGGCGAACGGGUGAGUAACACGUGAGUAACCUGCCCUUGACUUUGGGAUAACUUCAGGAAACUGGGGCUAAUACCGGAUAGGAGCUCCUGCUGCAUGGUGGGGGUUGGAAAGUUUCGGCGGUUGGGGAUGGACUCGCGGCUUAUCAGCUUGUUGGUGGGGUAGUGGCUUACCAAGGCUUUGACGGGUAGCCGGCCUGAGAGGGUGACCGGCGACAAUGGGACUGAGAUACGGCCCAGACUCCUACGGGAGGCAGCAGUGGGGAAUAUUGCACAAUGGGCGGAAGCCUGAUGCAGCAACGCCGCGUGCGGGAUGACGGCCUUCGGGUUGAAAACCGCUUUCGCCUGUGACGAAGCGUGAGUGACGGUAAUGGGUAAAGAAGCACCGGCUAACUACGUG